UCGAACGGACUCAGCGAGAGCUUGCUUUUGCUGAGUUAGUGGCGGACGGGUGAGUAACACGUGAGCAACCUACCCUACAAUGGGGGACAACACUGGGAAACCGGUGCUAAUACCGCGUAAGAUGCGUUUGGGGCAUCCCAAGCGCAAGAGAGGAUCUUCGGAUUCGAUGUAGGAUGGGCUCGCGGAAGAUUAGGUAGUUGGCGGGAUAACAGCCCACCAAGCCCACGAUCUUUAGCCGGACUGAGAGGUUGAUCGGCCACAUUGGGACUGAGACACGGCCCAGACUCCUACGGGAGGCAGCAGUGAGGGAUAUUGCACAAUGGAGGAAACUCUGAUGCAGCGACGCCGCGUGAGGGAAGAAGGUUUUCGGAUUGUAAACCUCUGUUUUCGGGGAAGAAAUCUGACGGUACCCGGAGAGAAAGCCACGGCUAACUACGUGCCGGCAGCCGCGGUAACACGUAGGUGGCAAGCGUUGUCCGGAAUUACUGGGUGUAAAGGGAGCGUAGGCGGGUAGAUAAGUUGAAUGUUAAAUCCAUCGGCUCAACCGAUGUUCGCGUUCAAAACUAUUUAUCUUGAGUGAAGUAGAGGCAAGCGGAAUUCCCGGUGUAGCGGUGGAAUGCGUAGAUAUCGGGAGGAACACCAGUGGCGAAGGCGGCUUGCUGGGCUUAUACUGACGCUGAGGCUCGAAAGCGUGGGGAGCGAACAGGAUUAGAUACCCUGGUAGUCCACGCCGUAAACGAUGAUUACUAGGUGUAGAGAGGUUAAACUUUCUGUGCCGUCGUUAACACAAUAAGUAAUCCACCUGGGGAGUACGACCGCAAGGUUGAAACUCAAAGGAAUUGACGGGGGCCCGCACAAGCAGUGGAGUAUGUGGUUUAAUUCGAAGCAACGCGAAAAACCUUACCAGGUCUUGACAUCCCGUGCAUAACCUAGAGAUAGGCUAAGCCCUUCGGGGCACGGUGACAGGUGGUGCAUGGUUGUCGUCAGCUCGUGUCGUGAGAUGUUGGGUUAAGUCCCGCAACGAGCGCAACCCUUAUCGAUAGUUACUACGUGAAGAGGACUCUAUCGAGACCGCCGUUGACAAAACGGAGGAAGGCGGGGAUGACGUCAAAUCAUCAUGCCCCUUAUGACCUGGGCUACACACGUACUUCAAUGGCCGAUAACAAAGCGAUGCAAUGCGGUGACGCGGAGCUAAACGCUAAAAUCGGUCCCAGUUCGGAUUGCAGGCUGAAACUCGCCUGUAUGAAGCCGGAAUUGCUAGUAAUCGCGAAUCAGCAUGUCGCGGUGAAUACGUUCCCGGGCAUUGUACACACCGCCCGUAU
RNAcentral lists this ribosomal RNA (1322 nucleotides) under uncultured bacterium. RNAcentral's name for it is "bacterial SSU rRNA". It matches the Rfam family "Bacterial small subunit ribosomal RNA", at positions 62 to 1399 of the family's 1533-position model. The record is from RNAcentral.